GGACUACAGGGGUAUCUAAUCCUGUUUGCUCCCCACGCUUUCGCACCUCAGCGUCAGUACCGGUCCAGAUAGCCGCCUUCGCCACUGAUGUUCCUCCAGAUAUCUACGGAUUUCACUCCUACACCUGGAAUUCCGCUAUCCUCUCCCGAACUCUAGUUAUAUAGUAUCAAAGGCAGUUCCGCAGUUGAGCCGCGGGAUUUCACCCCUGACUUAUAAAACAGCCUACGUGCGCUUUACGCCCAGUAAUUCCGAUUAACGCUCGCACCCUCCGUAUUACCGCGGCUGCUGGCAC
This 292-nucleotide ribosomal RNA is filed under the name uncultured bacterium. RNAcentral's name for it is "partial 16S ribosomal RNA". The record is from RNAcentral.